This 461-nucleotide ribosomal RNA is filed under the name uncultured bacterium. RNAcentral describes it as "bacterial SSU rRNA". It matches the Rfam family "Bacterial small subunit ribosomal RNA", at positions 29 to 519 of the family's 1533-position model. The record is from RNAcentral.
AAUCAACGCUGGCGGCGCGCUUAACACAUGCAAGUCGAGCGAGAAAGGGGGAGCAAUCCCUGAGUACAGCGGCGUACGGGUGAGUAACACGUGGGUAAUCUGCCUUUUAGUGGGGAAUAACCCUGGGAAACCGGGGCUAAUACCGCAUAAUCCUGUGAAGGGAAAGCAGCAAUGCGCUGAAAGAGGAGCCCGCGGCCGAUUAGCUAGUUGGUGAGGUAACGGCUCACCAAGGCGGNGAUCGGUAGCCGGCCUGAGAGGGCACACGGCCACACUGGCACUGAAACACGGGCCAGACUCCUACGGGAGGCAGCAGUGGGGAAUCUUGCACAAUGGAGGCAACUCUGAUGCAGCGACGCCGCGUGAGCGAUGAAGCCCCUCGGGGUGUAAAGCUCUUUCGGGCAGGGACGAUAAUGACGGUACCUGAAGAAGAAGCUGCGGCUAACUACGUGCCAGCCGCCGCU